Molecule: long non-coding RNA, 571 nt
Organism: Gorilla gorilla gorilla (western lowland gorilla)
Lineage: Eukaryota; Metazoa; Chordata; Mammalia; Primates; Hominidae
Exons: 3
Source: RefSeq, a predicted model, not a curated record
CUCCCAACCCCAGGCUCUGGGAGAAGGAGCAGGCACACACCAGUGUGCGAAUGCAGCUGCAACACUCGCUGGAAGGAGAGCUGCACAGGGGACUAUGACACUGCAGUGAGAACGAAGAAACCGACUCCAUACAUGAGCAUGGAGGAGCAGCCCCAGCAUGGCAGUGAGCAGCACAAACCAGUCAUUGAAAGCAUCAUUGUGACACCAUUUAUAGAAAACGAAGAAGAGACAGAGUUCACGGCGUGAGCCUGGACGCUGGGAGGCCCAGGAGGAGGCUGGCACAAAGGAGAGGGGACAGGCCAUGCAGUCCAAGGUGAGGAAGCAGUAUGGGCUGGUGUCAGGGCUGGUGGUGUGUGUUUGUGUGUGUGUGUGUGUGUGUGUGUGUGUGUAGAAAGUCCCCUUCAUCCCUAGAUUCUGAGGAAAGGGAGGGGCCCAUGCCAGCAUCCCCUCAAAGUCUGGGAAACCUGGAUUCCAGCCUCGUAGCGUCAGAAUAUCAGAACAGCCAGACCUGGCAGGGGAGGGGCCAGGGAGAAGGAGCAGAGGCAGUAUUUUCCCAGGGUCCCCUGGGGAG